Molecule: ribosomal RNA, 573 nt
Filed under: uncultured bacterium
Lineage: Bacteria
Description: partial 16S ribosomal RNA
Rfam family: Bacterial small subunit ribosomal RNA
Source: RNAcentral
UGGGGAAUUUUGGACAAUGGGCGAAAGCCUGAUCCAGCAAUGCCGCGUGUGUGAAGAAGGCCUUCGGGUUGUAAAGCACUUUUGUCCGGAAAGAAAUCCUCUGGGUUAAUACCUCGGGGGGAUGACGGUACCGGAAGAAUAAGCACCGGCUAACUACGUGCCAGCAGCCGCGGUAAUACGUAGGGUGCAAGCGUUAAUCGGAAUUACUGGGCGUAAAGCGUGCGCAGGCGGUUUUGUAAGACGGAUGUGAAAUCCCCGGGCUUAACCUGGGAACUGCAUUCGUGACUGCAAGGCUAGAGUAUGGCAGAGGGGGGUAGAAUUCCACGUGUAGCAGUGAAAUGCGUAGAGAUGUGGAGGAAUACCGAUGGCGAAGGCAGCCCCUGGGCCAAUACUGACGCUCAUGCACGAAAGCGUGGGGAGCAAACAGGAUUAGGAUAACCCUGGUAGUCCACGCCCUAAAACGAUGUCAACUAGUUGUUGGGGAUUCAUUUCCUUAGUAACGUGAGCUAACGCGUGAAGUUGACCGCCUGGGGAGUACGGUCGCAAGAUUAAAACUCAAAUGAAUUGACGGGG